This 538-nucleotide long non-coding RNA is filed under the name Sorghum bicolor (sorghum). RNAcentral's name for it is "long non-coding RNA (SBIC_LNC017656)". The record is from RNAcentral. Lineage: Eukaryota; Viridiplantae; Streptophyta; Magnoliopsida; Poales; Poaceae.
AAGGAACUCAGCAUAUAAUUAAAUCAAGAUGUACAUGUGUGGUGGAGUAAAUGAUGGUGAUGGUAAAAGAAUGUAUAAGUGAUAAUAAAACUUACUUCUCAUUGCUCCUCAUAUUGCUAUCUCUCCUCUUCUUUGAUCUUUGCUUUGAUUGAACAUGGGCUAUCUUUUUCUCUUUUUUUUCAGGUGGGUAGUAGAUACCCCUAAUUCUACUAUCGGACACUUGUCAAUUUUUUCCGCUCAAGUGGGCAUCUUUGUACCCCUAAUUCUACACCAGACACUUGUCCAUUUUAACCUCUCGUCUCACUCUUUUUCUUUCUUUUUCGAGGUUCCGGACACUUGGCCCUUUUUAUUUCCUCGCAUAUUUUUGCAUAACACAUGCCUCUUUUGCAUAGAAUCUUUUUAGAGAGAGCACUUGGGACAGUGAGUGAUAAUAAUAUUUUUAGCAAUUUUAAUGAGUGGUGGUGGAGGGUGUAGUAGAUGUGUGCAAGUGAAUAUCUUAAUUUAACCAUAUGAAAAGCUCCUAAGGGUCUACACAGCU